Non-coding RNA from Microcebus murinus (gray mouse lemur), 3125 nucleotides. The record is from RefSeq and is a predicted model, not a curated record. Lineage: Eukaryota; Metazoa; Chordata; Mammalia; Primates; Cheirogaleidae.
AUGCGCCCGCCCGACCGGCCGGGGUCCGCGCGCGCCCCGGCCGGGAGCCGCCACGCGCUCCGGCACCCGCCGGCCCCGCCGCGCCGCGCCCAGGCCCACCCGCGCGCGCCCACGCAGCCGCGGCCCGCGUACCGAGCGGGCACGGCGCGGAGCCGGCCGGCUCAAGGCCCCGGCCCGACGGGCGCACCGGCGCAGCAUGGAGCCAAGUCCGCCGACGCUGGCCGCGCAGCGGGACCCGCGGCGCGCGCCGGAGGCGCCGAACCCCGGCGCAGAGCCGCCGGGCGACGACCGACCCAGCGCAAGAGAACGCGCCUCCCGCUGGCCGCCCGCCCCCCGCGCCGCGCCGCCCCGCGCCGCCGCCGCCGCGAGUCCAGCUCGCAGGAGGAGGAGUCAUCGACGGCUUCGCCAUCGCCAGCUUCAGCACCCUGGAGGCCCUAGAGAAGGACAUGGCCCUGAAGCCACAUGAGCGGAAGGAGAAGUGGGAACGCCGCCUCAUCAAGAAGCCCCGGGAGUCGGAAAACGGCCCCCCUGCGGAGCCCAGCGAGCACCGGCGGCCCCUGGAGCCAGGCAGCCCGGGGCAGGACGUGGAGCCUGCCGGCGAUGGCCCGAGGAAAGUCCCGCUGCAGCCCUCCAAGCAGGUGUGCUCCCCAGAAGGGGGGCCGCUCCCAGCCAACCACCGGGACCAGAACGGCCCGGCCCAGCGCCAGCAGCAGCUCCAGCCCAGCCAGCCCAGCCAGCCCCAGGGCCCCCCCCCAGCCCCGACGGCGCCCCCGGACCCCAGGCAGCCCAGCCAGCCCCGCCAGCCCCAGCGGCCACCCCCGGGUCAGCGCGCCUGGCCCCAGCGGUCACUUCCGGGCCUGAGACAGCCCUGCCAGCCCCGGCGGUUACCUCCGGGCCCCCGUCAACCCUGCAGACCCCAGCAGCUGCCUGCAGCCCCAGAUCAGCAGUGUCGGCCCCGGCAGUCGCGCCGGGCUCAGCCCUGCCAGCCGCGCGGGGCGCUCCCGGGCCUCAGGCAGUGCUGCCGGCGCCUGCGCUCGCUCCUGGCCCCACGGUCCCUCCUGGCCCCCUGCCUCCACUGCCGGCGCCUGCGCUCCCUGCUGGCCCCGCGGUCCCUCCUGGGCCCCUGCCUCCACUGCCGGCGCCUGCGCUCGCUCCUGGCCCCAGGGCACCGCUGCCGGUGUCUGCGGUCACUGCUGACCCUGUGGCACCGCUGCCGGCCCCGGUGGCCAUGGGCCAGCCCCUGUCACUGCAGCCAGCCCAGCGGGGCUUCCUCAGGACAGCGCUGGCGGCCGCUGUGGUCCCUGCUAGCCCAGUGCCCGCGGUGCCAGCCCCCACGGCCACUCCUGCCCCUGCGACCACGCCGCCGGCCUGCCAGCUUCCUCCCGCGCCCGUGCUGCUGCUUCCGGCGGGCAUUCCUAGCCCCGUGUCAGUACGGCCAGCCCCGAAGGUCCCUCCUGGGCCAGCCUGGCCGCCCCCGGCGGUCCCUCCUGGGUGCCCGUCAGCCUCGGCAAUUAGUUGAAGCCCCAGAGCAGCCCGGCCCCCCCAAGCCCUCGCUGCUGGGCCCAGGACAGCCGUGCCAACAGAAGCGGCCACUCAUGGGCCCAGAGCAGCCUCGGCCACCCAAGCGGCCACUCAUGGGCCCGGAGCAGCCCUGCCAGCCCCUGCGGCCACUCAUGGGCCCCAACCAGUCCUGCCAGCCCCAGCCCUUACUCCCCAUCCCCGACCGCCCUUCUCUCCUGGGACAGCCAGGCCCACCCCGCCGGCCUCUCCUGGGGCCCCCGUGUCAGCCCCGGCGGUCCCUGUUGGACCUGGUGCCAGCCCCUCAGCCCCAGCUGCUGGCCCUGGGCCGUCCCUGCCGGCCCCUGCGGUCACGGUGGACCCGCUCCUCUGCCCCCUGGGCGGCCCGCCAGGCCCCAUCUGUGAGCCCUGGAGCCUGACACCUGCGGGCGCUUCCUUGGUGUUGCAGACACUGUGCGGGCUGCGUGCUGGUGAGGCUGAGGCUGGGCCGCUUCCCCGCAUGCCUGAGAUGCUUUGCUGGACUGGCCUGAGGCCUCCAGACAGGGCCAGGCGUCGCCGCCGUGGAGUCUGAGGCUCAGGCGGGGGUGGGGGCCGCAGGGUGCUGGGAUCAGUUGAGGCCCGCCCACAAAGCAGCAGGAGGAGAGGAGAGGAGACAUGUGGCGCCGUGCACCCUCCUCUACCCAGGGCCACUUGUGACAUGCUCGCCCUGGGGAGGGAGCACAGCCGGCCUCCGCUCGGAGCUGGCUGGGGAUCCCUCAGCGUCUUUCCAGGCCUCUGAGCUGCUGACACUGUUCUUGCAUCUCUGAGUCUCCGUGCACACCUGUCCCAGGUGUGCCACCCGUGCAGGGUGCGUGCGUGUGGGUGGCGUGUGUGGCUAUGUGCGGUUGUGUGGUGUGCCUGGGUGGGAGUGCUUUUGUUGGGGGGUGCCGCCUGCAGGCCUUGCUUCUUGCCCCUCACCUGUCUGGCCACAGGGUGUCCCCUGUCCCCAGGUGGAACAGCCUGGUGGCGAGUUGGCCGAGGUGUAGGUUUGGCUGGAGGCCAGGCUCCAGGUCCCAGCCCUCCCCAGCGGUCGGGUGGUGCCAGCGUCCCCUGCCCAGGUCCUUAAGCUGCAGGAGGCCUCUGCCUCCACCCCCCAGGGGGUGCACAGAAGGGGCUGUCAAGGUCUCCAGACCAGGGAGCCCCCACAGCACUGUCUGGCCGUGGCCCAGUCGGCAGACCCACACUGCAGGGCUGUCUCUGGGCCCCCACCUAUGGGCCACACCCCCCAUCCAGGUGUUCUGCAGUCCCGGGCAUGCCUCUGGCCCCGUGAGGGAGGUGUUCCGCGAGGAGGGAGGAGCCGGGGAAAGGUGGGAGGGCUCUGUGUCCAGAGCCAGCCGCUUCUGGAGAGCAGCACUGGCCACGUGGGGUCCCCAGGCUGAUGGGAGGUGGGGGGAGGCUCCCUGCUGCAGACCCAAGCUGACCCCCAGCCCCCUCCCCGCUGCUCCUGAGGACCCCGCCCGCCCCAGGGCCGGCCCCUUCCUCGGUGCUCACCUGGGGCCUCCAUCCAGAAACGCAGGGCUUAUUUUUCUGAUUAAAAGAAAUAAAAAGUGCCGUGCCACUAUUUUUUA